AGCAGCCGCGGUAAUUCCAGCUCCAAUAGCGUAUAUUAAAGUUGUUGCAGUUAAAAAGCUCGUAGUUGAAUUUCGGGAUUGACACAUCGGUCGUGCCUUAAGGGGUAUGAACUGGUGUAGUCAAUUUCUCACCUUCUGGAGAACCGCGAUGCCCUUAAUUGGGUGUCGCGGGGAACCAGGACCUUUACUUUGAAAAAAUUAGAGUGUUUAAAGCAGGCAUUUUGCUUGAAUACAUUAGCAUGGAAUAAUAAAAUAGGACGGCAUGAUUCUAUUUUGUUGGUUUCUAGGAUCACCGUAAUGAUUAAUAGGGAUAGUUGGGGGCAUUAGUAUUCAAUUGUCAGAGGUGAAAUUCUUGGAUUUAUUGAAGACUAACUACUGCGAAAGCAUUUGCCAAGGAUGUUUUCAUUAAUCAAGAACGAAAGUUAGGGAUCGAAGACGAUCAGAUACCGUGUAGUCUUAACCAUAAACUAUGCCGACUAGGGAUCGGAUGAUGUUUUAAUUUUUAUGUACUCUAUUCGGC
RNAcentral lists this ribosomal RNA (520 nucleotides) under uncultured Entrophospora. Its description in RNAcentral is "SSU rRNA". It matches the Rfam family "Eukaryotic small subunit ribosomal RNA", at positions 569 to 1084 of the family's 1831-position model. The record is from RNAcentral. Lineage: Eukaryota; Fungi; Glomeromycota; Glomeromycetes; Entrophosporales; Entrophosporaceae.